UAUAGAUAAUAGGUAUAUAUACUAUGAUGAGCAUACUUGUAUAGACACACAAAAUGUAGAAAACGUUGAGCUAUCAAAAAAAAAUCAAAUAAACAAAGUAACUUAUAAUAACAUUAAAGACGAGUUUGGUAACAAACUUACAAAUACUAAUAAUGUAGUUAGCGAAAAGAAUCAGCACAUAAAUAGUGAUGAUCAAUAUGUGAAAAAUAAUUUAAAAGAGACAAAAACAGAAGAAGAAGAUGCGCUUAACCUUUUGAAUAAUAAUGACAAGUAUAAAUAUGAUCGAAGUUACGGAUACACUCGAAAAUGCCAUGUAUCAUCCACAUAUACGGGACCAAAACACGAAUCAAAAGCAGAACUAAAAUCAGAUUUUGUCGACAUAAAUAAUACUUACUUUUAUUUCAAAAAGGUAAAUAUUACAAACAUAAAUAAGGAAAAUAUAAAUGAUGAUAUAUAUGAAGAACUAGUGCUACUCAAACAAUUGUCUUUACAACAAGCGGACACAAUCGGAUAUAACAUAUAUAAAUAUUUUUUAAACAUUAUAACAUAUGUAGAUAGGAAAAAAUUCAUAGAUGAUUUUUAUCUAGUUGAUUAUAUUAAUAAUAUUUGGGUAACCAGAAAUGUACAUAAGUAUUUUUAUUUUUUGAAUUCUUUAUUUCAUGAAAUGAAAAAAAUAUCACAAAAAUUACUUAAACUGAAUUACAAAAUAGAUGUUAUAGGUCAUAUAGAUGAACAAAAAAAAAUGAAUUAUUUUGAUAGACACGAUUUAUUUAGUAAAGUUAUUAAAAAAACAAAUUUUAUACCUAAUUAUAUAUGUAAACAUAAUUAUAUUUAUUCAAAUAAUAUUUUAAACUUGUAUCAAUAUGAUAUUAAUACUAAUUUAUAUGUCAACAAAUUUGAGCAAACGUUUUUUAACGUUACAAUUGACGAUUUUUUAGACUAUGAAAAAAAAAAAAAAUUAAACAUACAUUAUGACACUCAACGGUUUACACCUUUUUGUAUGUAUGCCAACACAUAUGAAAAAGAAAACGAUUUGAAGAAGGUCAUGCGGGUUACUUAUGGAGGUGGAGUUGUUGCAGAAGGUGCCACUACAAGUGCUACUGCUGAUGCUACGACAAGUGCUACUACCGGUGCUACGAAAAGUGCUACUACCGGUGCUACGAAAAGUGCUACUACGGAUGUUAGUAUGGGUGCUAAUAACUCAAACGUAACUCCCACGACUAGCAAUAGUAGCAGUGACACAUACCCAAACGAAAACUUAAACGAAAACUUAAACGAAAACCCAAAUGAAAACGAGUCGGAAAAAAACAUAAACACUCAAAAUGAUGAAUACGCGAACAAACCCAACAUAGCUGAAACGAACCCAAACGAUAUGUCGUUUUUAGAAAAAAUAAAAAAAAACCCAAGUUUAAAAUAUGCGUUUAUAGAUAAAAUAUGCCAACAGAUGUGCACUGAGUUCAUGGAUAUAGGUGUUUUAGAUAAUGAAAAUAAAAUAGAUUUAAAUAAAAUUGAUGAUAUAAAAAAUGAUAAAAAUAAUGUGCUAUAUAAAAAAGUGUAUGCAAUGCGAGAUUAUUUUUAUACAAUAUAUUAUGAUGAUUAUAACCCUAAUUUAGAUAUAUACAACUUGGAAACAUUUAUAGAUGCAGAAUAUAGGAUAUAUUCUUAUAAAAAAGAUUUAGAUGUACUGUUUAAGGAUUGGGUAGUGAAUGGAAAUAAAGAAAUGCCGAUUGUGCGAUUUUCAAAGAAAGACGUGGAGCUAGCUAAGUUGAGAUAUAUGUCUAAGCGAAAACGAAAACAAAUGGAGUUUGAAGCGGCGUUUUUCGAACGGCACGGAGAUCAGAAGACUCAAAUAGGAAAAGAAAAAACCCAUGUGGAAAAAAAAUGUAACGAUUUAGAUAAACAUAGUUACGAUAAGAACGGGUAUGACAAAAGCAGGGACGACAAAAGCAGGGACGACAAAAACGGGGAUGACAAAAAGGGGCACAACAAAAACGUGAAAAAAAUUAUAAGUUGCCUAAUAAAAUGGAAAGUAACAAAAGAAAAUGACAGUAGUAAAAAUAAUAUAAAAGAUACAGAUACAGAAGAUAUAAGCUU
Molecule: long non-coding RNA, 2094 nt
Organism: Piliocolobus tephrosceles (Ugandan red Colobus)
Lineage: Eukaryota; Metazoa; Chordata; Mammalia; Primates; Cercopithecidae
Source: Ensembl